UACGGAGGAUGCGAGCGUUAUCCGGAUUUAUUGGGUUUAAAGGGUGCGUAGGCGGCGAGUUAAGUCAGCGGUAAAAGCCCGGGGCUCAACCCCGGCCCGCCGUUGAAACUGGCUGGCUUGAGUGUGGUAGGGGAAGGCGGAAUUCCCGGUGUAGCGGUGGAAUGCGCAGAUAUCGGGAAGAACACCGGUGGCGAAGGCGGCCUUCUGGGCCAUCACUGACGCUGAGGCGCGAAAGCUAGGGGAGCAAACAGG
RNAcentral lists this ribosomal RNA (252 nucleotides) under uncultured Coriobacteriaceae bacterium. Its description in RNAcentral is "partial 16S ribosomal RNA". It matches the Rfam family "Bacterial small subunit ribosomal RNA", at positions 524 to 776 of the family's 1533-position model. The record is from RNAcentral. Lineage: Bacteria; Bacillati; Actinomycetota; Coriobacteriia; Coriobacteriales; Coriobacteriaceae.